GUGGCUCAGUGGUAGAAUGCUUGCCUGGAAAGCAUGAAGCCCUGGGUUCAAGUCCCAAC
This 59-nucleotide transfer RNA is filed under the name Ictidomys tridecemlineatus (thirteen-lined ground squirrel). RNAcentral's name for it is "Spermophilus tridecemlineatus (thirteen-lined ground squirrel) tRNA". It matches the Rfam family "tRNA", at positions 7 to 64 of the family's 71-position model. Rfam says of the family: Transfer RNA (tRNA) molecules are approximately 80 nucleotides in length. RNAcentral also lists the same sequence under 1 other name. Lineage: Eukaryota; Metazoa; Chordata; Mammalia; Rodentia; Sciuridae. The record is from Rfam by way of RNAcentral.